UCCGAGUUGACCCCGGCAGUCUCCCACGAGUCCCCACCAUCACGUGCUGGCAACAUAGGAUAAGGGUUGCGCUCGUUGCGGGACUUAACCCAACAUUUCACAACACGAGCUGACGACAGCCAUGCAGCACCUGUCACUCGGUUCCCGAAGGCACUCCGCCGUCUCCGGCAGAUUCCGAGGAUGUCAAGGGUAGGUAAGGUUCUUCGCGUUGCAUCGAAUUAAACCACAUGCUCCACCGCUUGUGCGGGCCCCCGUCAAUUCCUUUGAGUUUCAGCCUUGCGGCCGUACUCCCCAGGCGGAGGACUUAUCGCGUUAGCUGCGCCACCGACGGGCAAGCCCGCCAACGGCUGGCAUUCAUCGUUUACGGCGUGGACUAC
Molecule: unclassified non-coding RNA, 377 nt
Filed under: uncultured bacterium
Lineage: Bacteria
Description: contains 16S-23S intergenic spacer region
Source: RNAcentral